UAUUUUUCAUGCACGCCAAAAGGACAUACAUGGUUGGAAGGAUUACAAUUUCAUCUUAGCAAAACUAUAAAAACAAGAAGGCCAAGGACUCCAACAUAGCGGGUCCUCAAAUUUUAGUGGCUUUAAUUGUUAGUAUUAAGUAUCAACGAACUCUAUUGAUUUUCAAAUUCGUCGCAGGCUUGCUCGCAAGCCGGAAUACAGUUCUCACGAGUUGCACCUUCGACCUCCAUGCAUGUUGGCAUGCAUUUAUCCACGCAGUCGGCGGUUGCAGCAGUGCAAAUGUUGAUGUUGGAUGCCAUGAAAACCAUCACAAGCAUGAAGAUGACUACAGAAUUGUUGGCAGCCAUGGAGAAUUAUGUAUUGAAAAAUGCUACUUGAUGUUUUCGGUUUUCUCUUUCCGAGGUAAUAUGAUUUGUUGUUGGUUUAGAAGAGUCAAGGUUCAUCUAAUUUAUAUACAACAUUUUAUGUCAUUUGGAGGAAAACAUGGACAACCAUCAAAGAGUUUGGGAUGAUUAUAGCUAAUUUUAUAAGACUCGAGGUUGAAUCAUUUGGAUUUCUUUUAGAAUGAAGAAGAAUUCAGCGCUAUUAAACUUGUGUCUAUUUAUGGGUUAAAUUCUAAAAUUUAAAAUUGUUAAUGUUAUAAUAAUAACAAACUAUAUAUUAAGAAGGUUUCUAAUUGGAUUAAAUAAUAUUUUUAAGAUACGAGAACACUUUAAACAAGACUGUCAAAGGUACCAAUCUAUCACCAGCAUGCACCUUCUCAAUAAUUAAGAAUACAAUCGUUUAGGUCUAUCCGUCCAAUCAUCCCGUCCUCUCUUGGAUCGUUCAAUUUGAUCGCAAACUUGUUUGCAAGGAUGCUCACACUUUCUGCGAGUUGCACUUUUUACUUUCAUGCACGUAGGCAUGCAU
This 909-nucleotide long non-coding RNA is filed under the name Carica papaya (papaya). RNAcentral's name for it is "long non-coding RNA (CPAP_LNC008649)". Lineage: Eukaryota; Viridiplantae; Streptophyta; Magnoliopsida; Brassicales; Caricaceae. The record is from RNAcentral.